AUUGAACGCUGGCGGCAGGCCUAACACAUGCAAGUCGAGCGGAUGAAGGGAGCUUGCUCCUGGAUUCAGCGGCGGACGGGUGAGUAAUGCCUAGGAAUCUGCCUGGUAGUGGGGGAUAACGUCCGGAAACGGGCGCUAAUACCGCAUACGUCCUGAGGGAGAAAGUGGGGGAUCUUCGGACCUCACACUAUCAGAUGAGCCUAGGUCGGAUUAGCUAGUUGGUGGGGUAAAGGCCUACCAAGGCGACGAUCCGUAACUGGUCUGAGAGGAUGAUCAGUCACACUGGAACUGAGACACGGUCCAGACUCCUACGGGAGGCAGCAGUGGGGAAUAUUGGACAAAGGGCGAAAGCCUGAUCCAGCCAUGCCGCGUGUGUGAAGAAGGUCUUCGGAUUGUAAAGCACUUUAAGUUGGGAGGAAGGGCAGUAAGUUAAUACCUUGCUGUUUUGACGUUACCAACAGAAUAAGCACCGGCUAACUUCGUG
This 484-nucleotide ribosomal RNA is filed under the name uncultured bacterium. RNAcentral's name for it is "partial 16S ribosomal RNA". It matches the Rfam family "Bacterial small subunit ribosomal RNA", at positions 30 to 507 of the family's 1533-position model. The record is from RNAcentral.